AAUGGCCUAAACGUAGCGCCACGGGCCGAGCCGCUCCGCCGGCAUCUCGCGGCGCAACUCGACCAGGACCCUCAUCUGGGCCCACCGGUAGAAGUGGCGGUGGACGACCUAGUACUACAGGAAGUGGUGCCUGUGCGACCGCACCAUGUGCAGGUCCAGGUCGAGGGCGUCGCGGCAGUAGUCGAAGCGGCGGCCCACCAACGCGAACACCGUGACGUGCGCCUAGUAGCGGAGGUCGGGGUCCUAGAACCGGAGCUAGAGCUGGCGCACCGUGGCGCGGGGCAACAGCACGUAGGGGCUGCUGCCGCGCCGGCCGGCCCGCAGCGCGAGGAAGAACUCGCGGAGCUAAACCCUCACCUCGCAGAGGAACAGGCUGAGGUCGCGGCAGUAGAACGGCGCCUCGAGCAACUACAUCCUCUACCGCAGCGGGUCGUCGCUCCGGAACAGGUAGAACCUGUGCAACCCGUGGUGCCGCGCCUCCCGCAUCUUGGCGACCAAGUCGAAGAGGGCGGCGACGGCGAGGCGGAGGUGCACCAAGUCCCCGAGGAGCGCGGGCAAGCGGCCGAACGCGGGCGCGAACGCGCCGGCGAAGAGGAGGCCGCCUCCGUGGUGCGCCGACGAGAGGUGGAGCGCCUGGCUGCGGAGGUCCAGCCUCACCAGCCUGAGGCUGAACCGACCGCGCGGGCACGGCCACCUGCCGGCGCAGCAGCCGCGGCUGCUCUUCCUGUCGUAGGGGAGCAACCGACACCGCAAGACCACCACCAACCACAACGAGCGCGCCCUCCACCGGAGGUACCUGGCGAAGCCCAACAAGAACCGCAGCAAACUGCCCCGGCAGUGUCAGCGGCACACGACCCUCUUAUCCGAGGGCCCGCGCCACCACUCCGACCGGCAGCGCCGCCCCCCGCGGCCGCUUCCCAAGGAGGCCGACCACGACAGUCGCGGUUUCAAAUCCUAGAGUGGUCUGAGCCCGAACUUCUUUCCGCCCCAGUGGCACUGCCUACGCAACCUGCGCUUUAGACUCUUUAACUCGAGGGCCGCCUUUCCUGGGACCAACACGACCACGACCUCGACCUCGACCACGACUACGACCUCGACGACGACCACGACCAAGACGGAGACGCGGCGGCGUCGGCGGACGACCCCGCCUCCGACGACGCGCACGUGCCUCUCUGACCCCAAGAGGCACUCGCACGACCACGAGGGCAAGAGCUUCACUACCUAGACGCCGCCAACACCGCCGCCGCCAAACCUCUGCCUCUAGAGCUGCCUGCCGCCGCUGAGGAAGUACAGGGGCCGGCCGCGCAGCCGCUCGGUCUCGUGCCUGCCUAGGCAGAGGCGGAGGACGCCGCCGCCGCGCUACCCGCCGGUCCUAGGUCUCGGGGGAGGAGGCGGCAACUCCAACUUCUCGCUCGCCUAGGAGGGGUUCGAUAGCAACCAGACCUUCUACUGGAGCCACCGCGGCUCGAGCUCGUGCGGCCACGGCUCCCCCUACGUCUGGUACCACGCCUCCGGCUUCCACAUCCGGACGGACCGGGCGAGCGUCCCGCGCGACCGCUCGGGGCACCGCUAGGUCCACCGGACCGGCCGCUUCUCGCGGACCGGGCCGUUCGGGUAGGGCAACCCCUUCCUGACCCAGUACCUCUGCUCCUUCUUGGUGAGCCACAGGCACUGGAGGAGGAGCUGCCGGAGCAGCCCGCGCCGCCGCGGAGGGGGCCGAUACUCGCUCAACUCGAGGGCCUCCUGCGCGAACGCCACGAGGACGAGCCGCCGCCUCCGGCCCCACCCGACGACCGCCGCGAACAGCCGCAGCAGCGUCGGGAACAUCAUCGGCAGCGGGGUCGGCUCCUCGCUCCGCGGCCGCAGCCACCUCCUGACGGUCUUCUACCGCAUCCAGGUCCAGAGGGACCUCGGGAGCUACUACCGGACGUCCGCGACGACGUCGCACAGGACCAACUUCCGGCCGACGACGCCGUGCCGCCGGCCGCCGCCGCCCCACCGGCGUCGCGGGGUCCCCUUCCGGCCGUACAGCCGCCUCCGGUACUUCCGGAGGUAGUACCUCCGCAACAGCAGGCAGGUGUCCAAGUAGCCCGGCCCCGGCCCCAGGCCCCUCCCCUUCCUUCCCCUUACCUACCCUCCCUUUCGUUCGCGCCCCCCUCCCACCCACCUCUCUCUCCUCCUCUACCCUUUCCACCCUUACCUAACCACCCCUCCUUUCUACCCUCCGCUCCGGGUUUCAUC
RNAcentral lists this ribosomal RNA (2241 nucleotides) under Triticum aestivum (bread wheat). RNAcentral's name for it is "partial small subunit ribosomal RNA". The record is from RNAcentral. Lineage: Eukaryota; Viridiplantae; Streptophyta; Magnoliopsida; Poales; Poaceae.